UACGAGAGGCCCAAACGUUAUUCGGAAUUACUGGGCUUAAAGAGUCCGUAGGCGGCGCGGAAAGUGGGGUGUGAAAUCCCUCGGCUUAACCGAGGAAUUGCGCUCCAAACUGCCGUGCUUGAGGAACCUAGAGGUGAGCAGAACUGAUGGUGGAGCGGUGAAAUGCGUUGAUAUCAUCAGGAAUACCGGAGGCGAAGGCGGCUCACUGGGGGUUUUCUGACGCUGAGGGACGAAAGCCAGGGGAGCAAACGGG
Molecule: ribosomal RNA, 253 nt
Filed under: uncultured bacterium
Lineage: Bacteria
Description: partial 16S ribosomal RNA
Rfam family: Bacterial small subunit ribosomal RNA
Source: RNAcentral